CAAAUGAUAACACAGCCUGAGUAAUUUUUUUUUGUCUUAUUUCAGUUCCAGACAUAUCAUUACUUUUUAACCUGAGAUGGCAAACUAGAGGUUUUAAAAAGUCCUGAAUAACUGGUAAGCAUUUUGUUUUGUUAGGCAAGCUCUAAAUUGUUUAUUUAUGGUAUUUAUGCAAUUGAAAUUACAGUCGGUAUGUUAAAAAUAUGCAAAUAUGAAAACUGUUGCUAUGGUCUUGAUAUUGAAUGGAAAGGCUUAGUUACAGAUCGUUUCGACUCAAUAUUUCGAGUUAAAUCUUGCGGCAACUGUUUUCUCACGUAACACUGCAAACUAUAUUUAGCACUAUUUUGAUCUGUCGUUAUUUAAUGACGCCAUAAUACAUGUGAUGUCACAAUGUUUCCUUUAAAACCUCAUGUGGAUUUCUCACUGAUAAAAGGUUUUCACUGAAAUACAUGUUAAAAACAUUUUUUUCUCAAAUAGAAUUAUGUGAAAGGACAAGUUUUGAAAAUUUGCACUAUAUUGCACUCUAAUUAUAUGAUAAGGAUGACUUUCCCAGUAGUUUAGAGUGCUUUCCACAGUUUUAAAUACCAGAUUUCCACUAGUAAGAAUAAUUAUUUUGGUGUUGGUUUUUUUUAUAAAAUCUUCAUUUUUGCAUAAUUUCUCUGUCCAAAAUGCACUUUAAGGCACAAGAAAAUUUUAUAGAAUGCUUUAACAGGGUCUGUGUAUUGUAAUUAAAGGUUAUAAUCAGAAGUUUUGUCCUUGUUUUGACUAGUGAAGGUAUUCUGGAAGAAAAUUAAUUAUACAUACACAUUGUAUUCAAAAUAAAUGAAUAUAGCGACGAAAGUGUCAUUGCCUUAUAGUGCUAAAACAACUUUAUUUUUUUUCAGAAAUGGACAAAAAUACACAGAUUUAUUCAGAAUGUUAUACCGAUGAAGAUCACAUAAAAAUAUUUGGAAAAAUCAGAAGUAUUGAUUUCAAUAUGGGUCAGGAUCCCUAAUAGACCUUGAGAUGAGGAACUCAGAUGACGUAAUUAAAAAAAAUAUUAGUCCGCCAUACAAUUGUGGAUGCUGUGAUUUUAAAAAUGGACAUAAAUGAACAAUAAGAACUGUUUUAUAGAGCUGAUGUGAUGAGAAAAGAAAGAUGUAGAUUUGACCUGAAAUAAAUUAUUAGAAAGGACAAUUUUUUUAUUGAAUUUUAUGAUCAGAAUUUUGGGAUUAUUUCAUGAGGAGAGUGACAUUUUUCACCAUCUUCCGGGGUCCAGCAAUUUGCGAAAAAAAGUAAUCUCACUUGCCACCCCGAAAAUUUAACCAGACAUGUAUAAAUGUAUCAGCUUCGAUAUGAGCCAUCAUACAUGUUCAAGUAAACGAUAUGGACUGAGCAACGGAGGAAAACGUUACCAUUACG
This 1398-nucleotide long non-coding RNA is filed under the name Mytilus galloprovincialis (Mediterranean mussel). The record is from RNAcentral. Lineage: Eukaryota; Metazoa; Mollusca; Bivalvia; Mytilida; Mytilidae.